GAUGAACGCUGGCGGCGUGCCUAAUACAUGCAAGUCGAGCGAACAGACGAGGUGCUUGCUCCUCUUACGUUAGCGGCGGACGGGUGAGUAACACGUGGAUAACCUACCUAUAAGACUGGGAUAACUUCGGGAAACCGGAGCUAAUACCGGAUAAUAUAUUGAACCGCAUGGUUCAAUAGUGAAAGACGGUUUUGCUGUCACUUAUAGAUGUAUCCGCGCCGCAUUAGCUAGUUGGUAAGGUAACGGCUUACCAAGGCAACGAUGCGUAGCCGACCUGAGAGGGUGAUCGGCCACACUGGAACUGAGACACGGUCCGGACUCCUACGGGAGGCAGCAGUAGGGAAUCUUCCGCAAUGGGCGAAAGCCUGACGGAGCAACGCCGCGUGAGUGAUGAAGGUCUUCGGAUCGUAAAACUCUGUUAUUAGGGAAGAACAAAUGUGUAAGUAACUAUGCACGUCUUGACGGUACCUAAUCAGAAAGCCACGGCUAACUACGUG
RNAcentral lists this ribosomal RNA (497 nucleotides) under uncultured bacterium. Its description in RNAcentral is "partial 16S ribosomal RNA". It matches the Rfam family "Bacterial small subunit ribosomal RNA", at positions 28 to 507 of the family's 1533-position model. The record is from RNAcentral.